CUGCUGUGAUGACAUCUUAGGACACCUUUGGAUUCAAGAUGAAAACAAACUGUUAUUAAUCUGAGCAGC
Small nucleolar RNA from Scophthalmus maximus (turbot), 69 nucleotides. Its record names the gene SNORD58. It matches the Rfam family "Small nucleolar RNA SNORD58". Rfam says of the family: snoRNA U58 is found in introns 1, 3 and 6 of the ribosomal protein RPL17 gene in humans. U58 is a member of the C/D class of snoRNA which contain C (UGAUGA) and D (CUGA) box motifs. Most of the members of the box C/D family function in directing site-specific 2'-O-methylation of substrate RNAs. NCBI's taxonomy places the organism in Eukaryota, Metazoa, Chordata, Actinopteri, Pleuronectiformes, Scophthalmidae. The record is from Ensembl.